Molecule: long non-coding RNA, 2303 nt
Filed under: Citrus x clementina
Lineage: Eukaryota; Viridiplantae; Streptophyta; Magnoliopsida; Sapindales; Rutaceae
Description: Citrus clementina (C. clementina) long non-coding RNA (CCLE_LNC006653)
Source: RNAcentral
AUUGAUAACGUCACAUCAUUUAGAAUUCUUUUUUAAGAUAAUAAAAAAUUUAGGUUUGUGUAGCACUACUUAUUGACUUGUCCCCUUACAUUUAGCUUUGUGAUAGGUGUCAAAGUUUAAGUUAAUUAAAUUCACUGUUAACUAUAGCCAAAAGGAACCUAAAUUAUGAUAAAGAAAUGGAUGGGGUUAUAUGUACUCUAAAAAUUAUUAUGAUAAAGAACUGAAUAGAGUUAUAUGCACUCCAAAAAUUACUUUGAGCACUCUAUUAUUAUGUACACUCAUCUAUUAAAUUUUAAAAAAAUGAAUUAUACUUUGUACACUCUUUAAAAUACCAAAAAAGUCCUCACUUAAUCCUUUUUAAAUUAAUUAUCUUUACUUAGGAGGCGUUUGUUUUUUAACUUAAUAACUUAAAGUGACUUAACUUAAUUAAUUAAGUUAAUUAGAAGUGUUUGUUUUUAUAACUUAAUGAGACUUUUUAGAUAAUUUUGACUUAAUAAAAUAAGCCAAUUUUUUUGGCUUUUUACUUAAUGGAGAAAUUUGAAUUAAGUCAAUUACUUACUAAUAUAAAAAAUAUCCAUGUUUUAUAAUUUAUUUUUCAUGUCUAUCCCAAAACUCACUCAUAGACAUUUACCCCAUAUAAAAAUAUCCAUGUUUUUUCUUUCUUAUAUUAUAUAUGAAAAAUUUUGAAAUUUAUGGUAUUUUAUAUAUUAAAAUUCCAAAAUAAUUAUAUAUUCACUUUAAUAUAGUUUUACUUAUAAAUGCUAAAAUAUUGUGGUAUUUAAUAUAUUAUUUAUUUGACAUUCAAAUUUAAUAAGGAUACAAAUGUAAAAGUACAUAUUUUCAGCUUUUUCAGUUAAAAAAAACAAACAACUUAAUACUUAUUUUCCGAGAUUCAGACAAAAAAACAAACAUAUUAUUCAGAUUCAGACAUUCAGAUCUAUUCAGAAUUCAGAUUAAUUCAGAUCUAUUCAGAUUUCAGACAAAAAAACAAACGCCACCUUACUCUACACACUCAUGAAAAUGCUAUAGUCAAACAAAUAAAUCAAUUGCUGCUUCUUCGCAUGCUAAAAGCAUUGUUCUUGUGAGGUAUUGAAGUUAAACACCCUAACUCUUCUAUCCGUAAUUGAAACUGAAGAAAUAUUAAUACACUUAAAAUAAAACUUCUUUCUUUCUUUCUUUCUUCCUUCCUCAGAAAAAAUUAGGGUGGAAGAGAAGAAAGAGGUUGACUAGAAUUCAUUAUGGCUGGAAACAAGCAAAAGAAAUCUUCUUUCUCUCUACGCAACAUGUUCAAAUCGCGGAGGACUAAUCGAAGAGGGGAAGAUCUGUGGGAUGAUGUAGGAAGCACAGCAAGAAAAAAUUGCCCAAGUGAUGAAGAAAAAGGUGCUUAUUGGGUUGCUGAGCCUGGAAUUGACAGAAAAGCUUUAGCUUUUAUUGCAAAAUUUCAUGAAACUCGCACCUCAGAAUCCGAACACCAUGCAGGUUAUCAAGAUACCAAGACUUGACGACAAUAAGUCAAUAACGCUGAUUGUAGUAUAUACAUAUAAGCUUAAUUCUAAUUUAUGUUAAUUUUCUUGUGUUUUUGGUACUAUUUGUUUCAAAAUAUGUGUAUAAGGAGCUUGUAAAAUUAUAAUAAUAAAAUGUUCUUAAUAGUAAUUUAUAUUACAGAUAUCUUUGUAAUAAAUUUUUUUAUAAAAAUGUGAGUGUUUAGAGUACUUUUUAGAGUGCAUGUAGCCCCACCUUAAGAAAUUGUUUGCUUCUUUGUGUGUAUGGUGGAAGAGACCGUGAUUGAGUUGAAGUAUUGGAGAUAAUAAUGAUACAACUACAACAUCUAAAGUAUGAAUUGAUGUACAUUAUAUGAGUGCUUGAAUAAUAACAUCAACAUGAUUUAAUUUUAUUAUUUUAUAUUUCAAUUCAGUUAAUUAUAGAAUGUCACAUUAAUUUGUACUAAAAUUCUAAUUUAUAAUACUAUUUUGUGGAAAAAGGGCAUGCAUGUAUAUUUGUCAUUGUGAAAUAAAUAUAUUAUAAUUGUUAUAGAAAAUGACAUUAUAUUAUUAUAUAUGGCAAUGUUGUAUUUAGGUUUCUGCAAAGAUAAAAGAGAAAAAAACAAAAAAACAUUUCUAUGGUUUGUAAAAUUUAUAAUCUACCAGCUAUCAACUUUUAAACUUCAAGAUCUGUAUUUGCGGAGCCAAUUGAAUUAUGCUCAUACAUAAAUUAUUUACUUACGUAAAUUUAGUUGCUUAUAGUGAUACCUGCUUCGAGUGAUACACUAAUUUUCCAAAGAACAAAAUUGCACGCGCUAAUAA